RNAcentral lists this ribosomal RNA (2899 nucleotides) under Clostridioides difficile. RNAcentral's name for it is "bacterial LSU rRNA". It matches the Rfam family "Bacterial large subunit ribosomal RNA". RNAcentral also lists the same sequence under 1 other name. Lineage: Bacteria; Bacillati; Bacillota; Clostridia; Peptostreptococcales; Peptostreptococcaceae. The record is from RNAcentral.
UGGUCAAGUUAUUAAGGGUGCAGGGCGGAUGCCUUGGCACUAGGAGCCGAUGAAGGACGUGAUAAGCUGCGAUAAGCUUCGGGGAGUUGCACGUAAACUUUGAUCCGAAGAUUUCCGAAUGAGGAAACUCACUUAGAGUAAUGUCUAAGUAUCAUUAAGUGAAUACAUAGCUUAAUGAGGGGAACUCAGGGAACUGAAACAUCUAAGUACCUGAAGGAAGAGAAAGAAAUUCGAUUCCGUAAGUAGCGGCGAGCGAACGCGGAUUAGCCCAAACCAAUAAAGUUUUCUUUAUUGGGGUUGCGGACAUAUCAUAACGAAGAGGUAUCGUAAUUGAAGAGGUUUGGAAAGACCCACCACAGAAGGUAAUAGUCCUGUAUGUUAAACGAGAAGACUUUAGAUAUGAUCCAGAGUACCACGGGACACGUGAAACCCUGUGGGAAGCAGGAGGGACCACCCUCCAAGGCUAAAUACUACCUAGUGACCGAUAGCGUAUAGUACCGUGAGGGAAAGGUGAAAAGAACCCCGGGAGGGGAGUGAAAUAGAACCUGAAACCCUGCACUUACAAGCUGUGGAAGCACAUUUCUUGUGUGACCGCGUACUUUUUGUAGAACGGGCCAACGAGUUACGUUAAGUAGCAAGGUUAAGCACUUAAGGUGUGGAGCCGUAGCGAAAGCGAGUUUUAACUGAGCGUUCAGUUACUUGACGUAGACCCGAAACCGGGCGACCUACCCAUGAGCAGGAUGAAGCGAAAGUAAAAUUUCGUGGAGGUCCGAACCCACGAGCGUUGAAAAGCUCGGGGAUGACUUGUGGGUAGCGGUGAAAUUCCAAUCGAGCCCGGAGAUAGCUGGUUCUCCCCGAAAUAGCUUUAGGGCUAGCCUCAAGGUGAGAGAUACGGAGGUAGAGCACUGAAUGUCCUAGGGGGUAUUGCACCUACCGAAGACUAUCAAACUCCGAAUGCCGUCAUCUUAUACUUGGGAGUCAGACUGUGGGUGAUAAGAUUCAUAGUCGAAAGGGCAACAGCCCAGAUCGUCAGCUAAGGUCCCUAAAUGUAAGUUAAGUGGUAAAGGAUGUGGGAUUGCACAGACAACCAGGAUGUUGGCUUAGAAGCAGCCACUCAUUCAAAGAGUGCGUAAUAGCUCACUGGUCGAGUGAUCCUGCGCCGAAGAUUUCCGGGGCUAAAACUUACUACCGAAGCUACGGCAUCAGUAAUGAUGGGUAGGGGAGCUUCCCAUACGGGUUGAAGCAUGACCGUAAGGACAUGUGGACAGUAUGGGAGUGAGAAUGUUGGCAUGAGUAGCGAGAUGUGGGUGGGAAUCCCACAGGCCGUAAACCCAAGGUUUCCAGGGGAAGGUUCGUCCGCCCUGGGUUAGUCGGGACCUAAGCUGAGGCCGAAAGGCGUAGGUGAUGGACAACAGGUUGAUAUUCCUGUACUACCGAUAACCAUUUGAGAGAAGGGAUGACACAGUAGGAUAAGCUAAGCACACUGUUGGUUAUGUGUGCCCAAGCAUUGAGGCAGUCAAAGUAGGCAAAUCCGCUUUGAUAAUGCUGGGAUGUGAUGGGGAGCGAAAUUUAGUAGCGAAGUAGCUGAUUUCACACUGUCAAGAAAAGUCUCUAUCGAGGUUAAAGGUACCCGUACCGCAAACCGACACAGGUGGGUGAGGAGAGUAUCCUAAGGCCAGCGAGAGAACUGUUGUUAAGGAACUCGGCAAAAUGACCCCGUAACUUAGGGAUAAGGGGUGCCACCAUCAGGUGGCCGCAGAGAAUAGGCCCAAGCGACUGUUUACCAAAAACAUAGGUUUCUGCUAAGUCGCAAGACGAUGUAUAGGAGCUGACGCCUGCCCGGUGCUGGAAGGUUAAGGGGAUCUGUUAGAGCAAUCGAAGCAGUGAACUUAAGCCCCAGUAAACGGCGGCCGUAACUAUAACGGUCCUAAGGUAGCGAAAUUCCUUGUCGGGUAAGUUCCGACCCGCACGAAAGGCGUAACGAUUUGGGCACUGUCUCAACAACAGACUCGGUGAAAUUGUAAUUCCGGUGAAGAUGCCGGAUACCUGCGACAGGACGGAAAGACCCCAUGGAGCUUUACUGUAGCUUGACAUUGGGUCUUGGUACUACAUGUACAGGAUAGGUGGGAGGCUUUGAAACCAGGACGCCAGUUUUGGCGGAGCCAUCCUUGGGAUACCACCCUUGUAGUACUGGGACUCUAACCAUAGGCCAUGAAUCUGGUCUUGGGACACUGUCAGGUGGGCAGUUUGACUGGGGCGGUCGCCUCCCAAAAGGUAACGGAGGCGCUCAAAGGUUCUCUCAGUACGGUCGGAAAUCGUACGUAGAGUGUAAAGGCAAAAGAGAGCUUGAUUGCAAGACAUACAGGUCGAGCAAGGAUGAAAAUCGGACUUAGUGAUCCGGUGGUUCUGCGUGGAAGGGCCAUCGCUCAACGGAUAAAAGCUACCCUGGGGAUAACAGGCUUAUCUCCCCCAAGAGUCCACAUCGACGGGGAGGUUUGGCACCUCGAUGUCGGCUCAUCACAUCCUGGGGCUGUAGUAGGUCCCAAGGGUUGGGCUGUUCGCCCAUUAAAGUGGUACGCGAGCUGGGUUCAGAACGUCGUGAGACAGUUCGGUCCCUAUCCGUCGCAGGCGUAGGAAAUUUGAGAAGACCUGUCCUUAGUACGAGAGGACCGGGAUGGACGUACCUCUGGUGUACCAGUUGUUCUGCCAAGGGCAUGGCUGGGUAGCUAUGUACGGAAUGGAUAAGCGCUGAAAGCAUCUAAGCGCGAAGCCAACUUCAAGAUAAGAUUUCCCACCGCAAGGGUAAGACCCCAGAAAGACUAUCUGGUUGAUAGGUCGAAGGUGUAAGUGCAGCAAUGUAUUUAGCUUAUCGAUACUAAUAGGUCGAGGACUUGACCAA